UUGUGGUAAAGACUGCAAUCCUUUAUACUGUAGUGUGGGUGGUGCUGACGCUUGAUGAGUAAUGUGAUCCACUUGUGGGGGGAGUGAUUGAAUACAACGAGGGGUAUUGAGAGGAGAUAAAUGAGAUGUGAGGGAAGAAGGGAGAAGGCUGGAAGCAGGUGCAGAAAACUGGAGAGAAGCUGGUUGACUGUGAACUGGAGCUGGAGAAGCGCACCGUGGCGGGUGGGUGCUGUUCGUAGCUUAUAGUGCUGCCGGCAGCGAAGACAGUUGAGCAGGGGAGCUUCGUCGUGCUGGCUAGGAGGGGAGGCUGGGUGCCUCCUUUAGACAGCGAUAGGGACCGGGGAUUAGAGUGUGCCUUGCCUGCGGGCCUAAGCUCCCUGCGACAUCC
This is a long non-coding RNA of Melanotaenia boesemani (Boeseman's rainbowfish), 388 nucleotides long. RefSeq lists it as uncharacterized. The transcript is spliced from 3 exons. The record is from RefSeq and is a predicted model, not a curated record. NCBI's taxonomy places the organism in Eukaryota, Metazoa, Chordata, Actinopteri, Atheriniformes, Melanotaeniidae.